This 587-nucleotide ribosomal RNA is filed under the name Rhizobiaceae bacterium. RNAcentral describes it as "bacterial SSU rRNA". It matches the Rfam family "Bacterial small subunit ribosomal RNA", at positions 46 to 681 of the family's 1533-position model. Lineage: Bacteria; Pseudomonadati; Pseudomonadota; Alphaproteobacteria; Hyphomicrobiales; Rhizobiaceae. The record is from RNAcentral.
GCUUAACCAAUGCAAGUCGAACGCCCCGCAAGGGGAGUGGCAGACGGGUGAGUAACGCGUGGGAAUCUACCCAUCUCUGCGGAAUAGCUCUGGGAAACUGGAAUUAAUACCGCAUACGCCCUACGGGGGAAAGAUUUAUCGGGGAUGGAUGAGCCCGCGUUGGAUUAGCUAGUUGGUGGGGUAAAGGCCUACCAAGGCGACGAUCCAUAGCUGGUCUGAGAGGAUGAUCAGCCACAUUGGGACUGAGACACGGCCCAAACUCCUACGGGAGGCAGCAGUGGGGAAUAUUGGACAAUGGGCGCAAGCCUGAUCCAGCCAUGCCGCGUGAGUGAUGAAGGCCUUAGGGUUGUAAAGCUCUUUCACCGAUGAAGAUAAUGACGGUAGUCGGAGAAGAAGCCCCGGCUAACUUCGUGCCAGCAGCCGCGGUAAUACGAAGGGGGCUAGCGUUGUUCGGAAUUACUGGGCGUAAAGCGCACGUAGGCGGAUAUUUAAGUCAGGGGUGAAAUCCCGCAGCUCAACUGCGGAACUGCCUUUGAUACUGGGUAUCUUGAGUAUGGAAGAGGUAAGUGGAAUUCCGAGUGUAGAGG